RNAcentral lists this ribosomal RNA (146 nucleotides) under uncultured Bacteroidota bacterium. RNAcentral's name for it is "uncultured Bacteroidetes bacterium partial 16S ribosomal RNA". It matches the Rfam family "Bacterial small subunit ribosomal RNA", at positions 335 to 479 of the family's 1533-position model. Lineage: Bacteria; Pseudomonadati; Bacteroidota. The record is from RNAcentral.
ACUCCUACGGGAGGCAGCAGUGAGGAAUAUUGGUCAAUGGACGAGAGUCUGAACCAGCCAAGUAGCGUGAAGGAUGAAGGUCCUACGGAUUGUAAACUUCUUUUAUAAGGGAAUAAACCCUCCCACGUGUGGAGCUUGUAUGUACC